This 72-nucleotide transfer RNA is filed under the name Stegodyphus mimosarum. RNAcentral describes it as "tRNA-Ala for anticodon CGC". It matches the Rfam family "tRNA". From Rfam's summary of the family: Transfer RNA (tRNA) molecules are approximately 80 nucleotides in length. The record is from Rfam by way of RNAcentral. Lineage: Eukaryota; Metazoa; Arthropoda; Arachnida; Araneae; Eresidae.
GGGGAUGUAGCUCAGUGGUAGAGCGUUCGCUUCGCAUGUGAAAGGUCCGGGGUUCGAACCCCCGCAUCUCCA